Long non-coding RNA from Stegostoma tigrinum, 1113 nucleotides. RefSeq lists it as uncharacterized. NCBI's taxonomy places the organism in Eukaryota, Metazoa, Chordata, Chondrichthyes, Orectolobiformes, Stegostomatidae. The record is from RefSeq and is a predicted model, not a curated record. The transcript has 3 exons.
GAAACAUGCACAUUAAUGGAAUAUAUCACCUGUCAUUAUGCAAAAUCUUUGCUUUGAAGACUAAAUGAGGAAACAGGCCUAAAAGCAAGAGGUACUUCCUCUCAUAGGGAAGAAGUCUACCCCUCCAGGCACACAUCUUAUUAUGUGGAGUCAGAUAUGUGAACACAUCUACUGGUUUUCUGGUUGCAGCAGCAGCGCGAGCGGGAGCUUGGAGCAGGGGCCUGUCGGGAAGCCGGAAUACACAAGAAAAGGGGUCGAAAAUCAGCUGUAAUGACUUGUCUCAGUGUAGUAAAGUGCUGGUGUCCAGAUGUGUUAGCUUGGGAUUCAUUUUCCACUUGCCAAAGUGUGCUAUGAAGGACCACAGUGGAGAACUUCCACUAGCAAUCUGUGGAUGUGCAGGUGAUAAGACUCAAAUCUGUGUCUUCGAUUCCUGAAAAGAAAUUAUUAGUAAAGCUACUGGUGGCAAAACCUGAACAAACUCUGUUCAGCCAACUGCAGACCCAAGAAUCUUUAGACAACUACUCAACUCUCAAAGUCACUGAGGCAAGAUAAACAUCGUAAUGGCUGCAAUGUUUCACUAACUAUUCAUCUCAGACAAGCCAAUUCAUUUUUUUUUCUAACAUGUACCUUUGGACUCACCACCCAUUUAUAAUCUCUGAGUAUACACGCUGUGUUUUAUUAACUUUUCUCAUGAGUUAGUAGCUAAUAAACUCAUUCUUACUUUAUUACUGUUUGUGCAGCUGGGAGGUGGGCCGAGCAAGUGAAUAGGCAGCAUAGAGGGCCUGUGGGAUUAAUAGUGCCAGGAGUUGGGAUGGGUGACAGCAAGUGAGGGAAGAUGUUGCAGCCAAUAAUGGGAAUGGUGGAUCAUAUGUCUUAAUGUGAGAUGGGUACAGUAGCAGAGAAAGAUUGAGAGUAAGGUAUCGGACAGAAGUUGGUGGCAUUUAAACUAGCAAAGCAGAGACAGACAUUGUUCUUCUCCCUACAGUGCUGGGCAUUUCUCCAGACAGAAAAAAAACUGCUUUAACGUGGGUCGUUACCUUGGACUAGGCUGGCAUACUCUGGUGACAUGACUCCAUUGCUGAUCCUAGGAAUGGAAGGAGCCCUGCCUUGAUA